GGGUCAGUAGGUUGGUCGUGCCACCGGUACGUACUGGUCUCACUGAUUCCUCCUCCCUGAAGAACCGUAAUGCCAUUAAUUUGGUGUUGCGGGGAAACAGGACUGUUACUUUGAAAAAAUUAGAGUGUUUAAAGCAAGCUAACGCUUGAAUACAUUAGCAUGGAAUAAUGAAACAGGACGAUCGAUCCUAUUUUGUUGGUUUCUAGGAUUGACGUA
RNAcentral lists this ribosomal RNA (216 nucleotides) under Glomeromycotina sp. Its description in RNAcentral is "partial small subunit ribosomal RNA". The stretch from base 75 to 216 matches the Rfam family "Eukaryotic small subunit ribosomal RNA", at positions 721 to 864 of the family's 1831-position model. The record is from RNAcentral. Lineage: Eukaryota; Fungi; Glomeromycota.